Molecule: unclassified non-coding RNA, 21 nt
Filed under: Mus musculus (house mouse)
Lineage: Eukaryota; Metazoa; Chordata; Mammalia; Rodentia; Muridae
Description: oocyte_clustered_small_RNA3416
Source: RNAcentral
UGUCUGGGCAAUAACCACCUG